GGGUUAAGUCCGUAACCGAGCGCAACCCUUGUCCUUAGUUACCAGCACGUUAUGGUGGGCACUCUAAGGAGGACUGCCGGUGACAAACCGGAGGAAGGUGGGGAUGACGUCAAGUCAUCAUGGCCCUUACGGCCUGGGCUACACACGUGCUACAAUGGUCGGUACAAAGGGUUGCCAAGCCGCGAGGUGGAGCUAAUCCCAUAAAACCGAUCGUAGUCCGGAUCGCAGUCUGCAACUCGACUGCGUGAAGUCGGAAUCGCUAGUAAUCGUGAAUCAGAAUGUCACGGUGAAUACGUUCCCGGGCCUU
This 307-nucleotide ribosomal RNA is filed under the name uncultured Pseudomonas sp. RNAcentral describes it as "bacterial SSU rRNA". It matches the Rfam family "Bacterial small subunit ribosomal RNA", at positions 1077 to 1382 of the family's 1533-position model. The record is from RNAcentral. Lineage: Bacteria; Pseudomonadati; Pseudomonadota; Gammaproteobacteria; Pseudomonadales; Pseudomonadaceae.